GACGAACGCUGGCGGCGUGCUUAACACAUGCAAGUCGAACGGAAAGGCCCUGCUUUUGUGGGGUGCUCGAGUGGCGAACGGGUGAGUAACACGUGAGUAACCUGCCCUUGACUUUGGGAUAACUUCAGGAAACUGGGGCUAAUACCGGAUAGGAGCUCCUGCUGCAUGGUGGGGGUUGGAAAGUUUCGGCGGUUGGGGAUGGACUCGCGGCUUAUCAGCUUGUUGGUGGGGUAGUGGCUUACCAAGGCUUUGACGGGUAGCCGGCCUGAGAGGGUGACCGGCCACAUUGGGACUGAGGUACGGCCCAGACUCCUACGGGAGGCAGCAGUGGGGAAUAUUGCACAAUGGGCGGAAGCCUGGUGCAGCAACGCCGCGUGCGGGAUGACGGCCUUCGGGUUGUAAACCGCUUUCGCCUGUGACGAAGAGUGAGUGACGGUAAUGGGUAAAGAAGCACCGGCUAACUACGUG
Molecule: ribosomal RNA, 468 nt
Filed under: uncultured bacterium
Lineage: Bacteria
Description: partial 16S ribosomal RNA
Rfam family: Bacterial small subunit ribosomal RNA
Source: RNAcentral